AACGAAAAGAACAACAGGGAUUGCCCUAGUAACGGCGAGUGAAGCGGCAACAGCUCAAAUUUGAAAUCUGGCUUAGGCCCGAGUUGUAAUUUGUAGAGGAUGCUUUUGGUGCGGUGCCUUCUGAGUUCCCUGGAACGGGACGCCACAGAGGGUGAGAGCCCCGUAUAGUUGGACACCAAGCCUUUGUAAAGCUCCUUCGACGAGUCGAGUAGUUUGGGAAUGCUGCUCAAAAUGGGAGGUAAAUGCCUUCUAAAGCUAAAUACUGGCCAGAGACCGAUAGCGCACAAGUAGAGUGAUCGAAAGAUGAAAAGCACUUUGAAAAGAGGGUUAAACAGCACGUGAAAUUGUUGAAAGGGAAGCGCUUGUGACCAGACUUGCGCCAGGUGGAUCAUCCAGCGUUCUCGCUGGUGCACUCUGCCUGGUUCAGGCCAGCAUCGGUUUCUUCAGAGGGAUAAAGGCUCCGGGAAUGUAGCUCCUCAGGGAGUGUUAUAGCCCGCUGCACAAUACCUCUGGGGGGACCGAGGUUCGCGCUCUGCAAGGAUGCUGGCGUAAUGGUCAUCAGCGGCCCGUCUUGAAACACGGACCAAGGAGUCAAGCAUUAGGGCGAGUGUUUGGGUGCAAAACCCGCACGCGUAAUGAAAGUGAACGUAGGUGAGAGCUUCGGCGCAUCAUCGACCGAUCCUGAUGUAUUCGGAUGGAUUUGAGUAAGAGCCUUGCCGCUUGGACCCGAAAGAUGGUGAACUAUGCUUGUAUAGGGUGAAGCCAGAGGAAACUCUGGUGGAGGCUCGCAGCGGUUCUGACGUGCAAAUCGAUCGUCAAAUAUGAGCAUGCGGGCGAGAGACUAAUCGAACUAUCUAGUAGCUGGUUACCGCCGAAGUUUCCCUCAGGAUNNCAUUGUUGUUUCAGUUUAUUGAGGC
This 917-nucleotide ribosomal RNA is filed under the name Conlarium indicum. RNAcentral's name for it is "Conlarium sp. RD-2020a partial large subunit ribosomal RNA". It matches the Rfam family "Eukaryotic large subunit ribosomal RNA", at positions 53 to 1009 of the family's 3401-position model. Lineage: Eukaryota; Fungi; Ascomycota; Sordariomycetes; Conlariaceae. The record is from RNAcentral.